CACGUAGGGUGCGAGCGUUGUCCGGAAUUAUUGGGCGUAAAGAGCUCGUAGGUGGUGUGUCGCGUCGGCCGUGAAAACCUGCAGCUUAACUGUGGGCUUGCGGUCGAUACGGGCAUCACUGGAGUUCGGCAGGGGAGACUGGAAUUCCUGGUGUAGCAGUGAAAUGCGUAGAUAUCAGGAGGAACACCGAUGGCGAAGGCAGGUCUCUGGGCUGACACUGACGCUCAUGCACGAAAGCGUGGGGAGCAAACAGG
This 254-nucleotide ribosomal RNA is filed under the name uncultured bacterium. RNAcentral describes it as "partial 16S ribosomal RNA". It matches the Rfam family "Bacterial small subunit ribosomal RNA", at positions 524 to 776 of the family's 1533-position model. The record is from RNAcentral.